Molecule: long non-coding RNA, 2157 nt
Organism: Scleropages formosus (Asian bonytongue)
Lineage: Eukaryota; Metazoa; Chordata; Actinopteri; Osteoglossiformes; Osteoglossidae
Source: Ensembl
ACACGAGUCAGCAAGGCCUCUGUAAUUUCCCCUUUUUUGUGGUUAUUUGAUUUAAAUAAAAACUCCCUCUCUUCAAGGAAGUCAGUUUUGCACUCGCUUAUGGUCUUCAAAGGAUUUGGUUCCUUCUUAUGCACCUACUGUAUAAGAUGAUCACAAUUUUUGCAUUAAUUCCAUGGAUCACUCUGUCUGUGGUGACAGAGCUGAGUGCUGCAGUCAGUUCUGUUGAUCGGUUUGUGCUGAAAGGAAACUCUACUAACCUCACAGUGGAGGGACUACAAACAGAGAAUGUCCGGAGACUUUCAUGGAAAGUAAACUCAACGCUUAUACUGGAGUACAACCUGAAGGAAAAGAAAGAGACGUACUUUGGCAGUUUUGAGCAGAAGACAAAUUUUAACCCCACAGACUACUCUCUGUACAUUAAGAACCUGAUGGAGACAGACAUUGGUCUCUACUCUGCUGAAAUUCUUGACAAUAAUGGAAAAUCCACCUAUCACACGAAGUAUAACUUACAUGUCCUGGAAGCUGUACCCAAACCCAUCCUAAAUCUGAUGUUACUCCAUCUCAACUCCUCUGGAACAGUUUGCAAUGUGUCAGUGAACUGCUCAGUUGGACACAGCUGGGUCUCCUGCACCUGUGAUCAGGACCAGUGUAAACAUGUGGAACUCCAGUCAGAUGUGAACAUCAGUGUUACUGCUAACAAGGGUACCAUCACCUGUACAGGCAGCAAUCUGGUCAGCAGUGCAAACCAGUCAAAAGCGAUGGAACCUCUAUGUGUUCAAUCCCCCCUUACAGGUUCCUCUGCAUUCAUGGGUAUCAUUGCAUCCGUUUUGGCAGUUUUCGGGGUUGUAUUAAUAUGUGUCAUAUCGCUGGUUAGAAGAUCCAUGAGGUCUUCAAGCCAUUCUGUAUCACAGAACAUCGGAACUGAGCAAAACACUAUAUACUCCACUCCGGAGAACCCAAGCACACACUGCCCUCUAAAUGUCAACCAAGAGACUGAUCAAACUGUGUACUGCACUGUGAUGCAGAGAAAUAACCAAGGGUCCAACGCUACAGUACCUCCAAGCCACGAUGGUGAUAUUACUAUAUACAGUAUGGUGAAAAAAUGACCUGGACCUCCUAACUUGAUGUAAGGGUUUAAAGCAUAUCAACUGUGACACAGAGUGCAGUUUAGUAGGUUGAAUGGUAGGGCAGCAGGUAGCUCUCACCGCACCUGGACCGUCUGAGUGAUACUGGAUUCGAAUCCAUCCCAGUUUGUAUGGAGUUUGCAUGUUCUCCCAUAUUCCAAAGACAUGUUUUUUUUGGAGAAUGUCUUUUGCGACCCUGUAAUGGACUUGAUUCUGUUGGUCAAAGGUGGAAUGACAGUACAGGGUUUAUGGCCCUAUCAGGACACCAUGGUUUUGUAUUAAUUUUAGUUAUUAUAUUUUGUCAUGUCUUAUAAAGGUGAGCUAUGCUUUAUUGUUAAAGGUGUUUACAGAGAAAGAGAGAAAUUGGGUUCUAACCUUGUUCAGUUUGUGUGUGUGAGUUUGUAUGUUCUCCCCAUGUUCACAUGGGUUUUCUCCCAUGGUCCAAAGACAUGUGUUUCAAGUGAAUUGGUGAUCCUAAUUGCCCAUAACAUCAGAAACUGGUAAUUCAGAACUGGUAUCAAAGCCAGGGUGGUAACGGUUGAUGUCAGGAAGGGGAUCGGCAACAAAAAAACCUCAGCUCCAGCUGAAACUUAAAAUGCUGCAGAUUCUGGAGGUUCAAAAUUCAAACUGGGUUCUAGAAAAAGCAGUGAAACUAAAUAGUACUAGUAGAAUAUUAAAUUUGUUUCCCUGGUACUGAUGUGAGACACCUUUGAUUGUAAUACAGAGAAUGUUACCUAUUUUAAGGUAUAGAAUGGAAGGUCUUGAGACUGCAUUUACAUUAUUAUUGUGUCUGGAUUAAUGAAGAGCAAAAAACUGUUCUUUAAAAACAAGUGUACAAAGUUUAGUGUAGUGUAUCUGGAAUAGUCACCUUGGAUGACCAUGGAUGACAUCAGGAAAACAUUAGUUAAUCAUUGAAUCUACUUUGAAGAAAAGUGUCUGGUAAAUGUAAAUGAUUGUCCCUUUAUGUGCCACUAAUUUGGAAUUUAUAUGCUUGUGAUACUGUUCAGUUAGAAUAAAAACCUGUUGUAAACCA